UACGUAGGGAGCGAGCGUUGUCCGGAAUCAUUGGGCGUAAAGCGCGCGUAGGCUGCCCGAUCAGUCCGCUGUAAAAGUCAAAGGCUCAACCUUUGAAGGCCGGUGGAUACUGUCGGGCUAGAGUCCGGAAGAGGCGAGUGGAAUUCCUGGUGUAGCGGUGGAAUGCGCAGAUAUCAGGAGGAACACCAAUAGCGAAGGCAGCUCGCUGGGACGGUACUGACGCUAAGGCGCGAAAGCGUGGGGAGCGAACAGGAUUAGAAACCCGGUAGUCC
This 272-nucleotide ribosomal RNA is filed under the name uncultured prokaryote. RNAcentral's name for it is "partial 16S ribosomal RNA". It matches the Rfam family "Bacterial small subunit ribosomal RNA", at positions 524 to 796 of the family's 1533-position model. The record is from RNAcentral.